CAGUACAAUGCCAGCCAACUUCUUACGCAAAGAGAGGCUGUAAGUAGAGAAAUCCGAAAGACUUUGACUGAGAGAGCAGCCCAGUUCAAUAUUGCUCUUGAUGAUGUUUCCAUAACAAGUUUAACUUUUGGAAAGGAGUUUACAGCUGCAAUCGAAGCCAAGCAAGUGGCUGCCCAAGAAGCCGAAAGAGCUAAAUUCGUUGUCGAGAAGGCUGAACAGGACAAGAGAAGUGCUAUAAUUAGAGCACAGGGAGAAGCCAAGAGUGGGCAGCUGAUAGGACAAGCUGUUGCCAAUAACCCUGCGUUUAUGACUCUGAGGAAGAUUGAAGCAGCAAGAGAAAUUGCACAUACUAUUGCAAACUCAUCCAACAAAGUUUUCCUCAAUUCAGAUGAUCUGUUGUUGAACCUUCAAGAGAUGAAUUUGGAGCCCAGUGGAAAGAAGUAAGUCCACCCACAUCCCUUCUAAACUUACUAGCCAAUUUGUUUCGUUUCUUUG
Molecule: unclassified non-coding RNA, 495 nt
Filed under: Hevea brasiliensis (rubber tree)
Lineage: Eukaryota; Viridiplantae; Streptophyta; Magnoliopsida; Malpighiales; Euphorbiaceae
Source: RNAcentral